GAUGAACGCUGGCGGCGUGCUUAACACAUGCAAGUCGAACGAGAAGUGGAGACGGAAACCUUCGGGCGGAAGACUUUAUUUCGAGUGGCGGACGGGUGAGUAACGCGUGGGUAACCUGCCUCAUACAGGGGGAUAACAGUUGGAAACGACUGUUAAUACCGCAUAAGACCACAGCACCGCAUGGUGCGGGGGUAAAAACUCCGGUGGUAUGAGAUGGACCCGCGUUCGAUUAGCCAGUUGGCGGGGUAACGGCCCACCAAAGCGACGAUCGAUAGCCGAUCUGAGAGGAUGACCGGCCACAUUGGGACUGAGACACGGCCCAAACUCCUACGGGAGGCAGCAGUGGGGAAUAUUGCACAAUGGGGGAAACCCUGAUGCAGCGACGCCGCGUGAGUGAAGAAGUAUUUCGGUAUGUAAAGCUCUAUCAGCAGGGAAGAAAAGGACGGUACCUGAGUAAGAAGCCCCGGCUAACUACGU
Molecule: ribosomal RNA, 477 nt
Filed under: uncultured bacterium
Lineage: Bacteria
Description: partial 16S ribosomal RNA
Rfam family: Bacterial small subunit ribosomal RNA
Source: RNAcentral